RNAcentral lists this ribosomal RNA (530 nucleotides) under uncultured bacterium. Its description in RNAcentral is "bacterial SSU rRNA". It matches the Rfam family "Bacterial small subunit ribosomal RNA", at positions 791 to 1320 of the family's 1533-position model. The record is from RNAcentral.
UAGUCCACGCCGUAAACGAUGAGCACUAGCUAUGAGGGCAGUUAUGUCUUCGUGGCGCAGCUAACGCAUUAAGUGCUCCGCCUGGGGAGUACGGUCGCAAGACUAAAACUCAAAGGAAUUGACGGGGGCCCGCACAAGCGGUGGAUUAUGUGGUUUAAUUCGAAGCAACGCGCAAAACCUUACCUAGGUUUGAAAUCCUGAGAACCUGACCGAAACGUCGGGGUGCCCUUCGGGGAAUUCAGUGACAGGCGCUGCAUGGCUGUCGUCAGCUCGUGUUGUGAAAUGUUGGGUUAAGUCUCGCAACGAGCGGAACCCCUGUCCUUAGUUGCCAGCAUUAAGUUGGGCACUCUAGGGAGACCGCCGGGGUUAACCCGGAGGAAGGUGGGGAUGACGUCAAGUCCUCAUGGCCCUUAUACCUAGGGCUACACACGUAAUACAAUGGAAGAUACAAAGGGAUGCAACCUCGCGAGAGUAAGCUAAUCUCAAAAAAUCUUUACUCAGUCCGGAUUGAAGUCUGCAACUCGACUUCA